This 253-nucleotide ribosomal RNA is filed under the name uncultured bacterium. Its description in RNAcentral is "partial 16S ribosomal RNA". It matches the Rfam family "Bacterial small subunit ribosomal RNA", at positions 524 to 776 of the family's 1533-position model. The record is from RNAcentral.
UACGUAGGUGGCAAGCGUUGUCCGGAAUUAUUGGGCGUAAAGCGCGCGCAGACGGCCUUUUAAGUCUGAUGUGAAAGCCCCCGGCUCAACCGGGGAGGGUCAUUGGAAACUGGAAGGCUUGAGUGCAGAAGAGAAGAGCGGAAUUCCACGUGUAGCGGUGAAAUGCGUAGAGAUGUGGAGGAACACCAGUGGCGAAGGCGGCUCUUUGGUCUGUAACUGACGCUGAGGCGCGAAAGCGUGGGGAGCGAACAGG